GGGAGGGGUGGGCUCUGGGGGAUGCUGGGCUGGGACUCGGGAGAGCCAGGGGGUAGGGCCUGGGGACCAGAAGAGGACCCCAAGUUGGAUCUGCGGGGCGGGGACCGGGUGUUGGCGUAGGGGAGGGAGGUCGUGAGGAGGAGCGCUUGGCUGCUGUUGGGUCAGAGGAGCGCGGGCACCCCAGAAGUCCAGCCUUCGAAGUUUGAGAUGAGAGGAGUCCGGGGUCUAGAAGGUGGGCGCGAUGCUGGAGCGGGGAACCCGCCCUCGGAGUCCCUGCGCCGAGUUGUAGAGAGCCUGCGGCAACAGGUAUCCCCGAAGGACGGGUGGACCCCAAGCUGGCCUUUGUCCUGCGCCUUCGAAGCCUUUCCAAAGGGACCUCUGGGGGUGGGGUGGGGGUUCCUAUCCCUUGAGUACUUGUGACUGUUUUGGCGCGUUGGGUGGAGGAGGGUGAACCCGAGUUUGAAGAUCAGGAUGGAGAGGCUGGCUCGCGCCCCACCUCCAAUUGUGUAAGAGCCUUUAUCUUCUGGGGCUGACCCUUUGCAGCAUUUCGUCUCUGGGGAUGAGGAAAAACUGGCAGAAACUCGAUGCCAAAGUGGAUUGUUCACCCUGAUUGGCAGAGAAAGUGCCAACAAAAGAGGGGCAUCUCCCGGAAACAAUGACUUUUGGGGAUUUCGCUCUCCCCUCGACUUGUCCACCUUGGGAUGGGGGAAGGGGUGGCGGUGACAGGGUUGCUGGGGAGGGGACCCGUGCGGGCGUCCCCAGAGUAAAGUUUGCAGCGAGGUAGAGGGAAGAUAGGGUCGGGGCGGGAGAUGCGGGAAAGGGCGAGAGGAAGAAGGGGUGAGAGGGAGAAACCUGCCGCCGCUCGCCGCCUCUUUGUCUGCUCCGGGACUUGGAACAAAAGGGGGAACUUGAUGAACUCUCCUUCCUCCCCUCUUCCCCGGACGCCCGGGUAUCUCCGUCUCGCAACUUUGCCUACGCGACUUUCUCCGCUGUCAGGCCACCAGAAAGUGUCCGAGGGCCUCGCGGGUCUGCGACGAGGUGUGAUUAUUGUGAGCAUCUGGGAGUGUGGAGCAGUGGCUUCAGUCCUUCCUACCACCGACCUUACGUGUUCCGUACCAUUCUUAUUGGAUCUAUCAGAAAACAGCAUGCAAGAGCCAGCAGCCAACCAUUCCUGGUGGAGCACCAUCAAACUUCCUCCGUUGGAGUUACUUAAAAGUUAUAUUGUUGGGAUUUUUGAUAACGCCUUUCCUUAUGUGGAUUACUACAAUUUGAUGGCUGGGAACUCUCCACUCAGAAGGUAUGUUUCUUUGUAGACACCGUGUGAGUUCUUGGAAAGGACCAUCUCCUGAUUUUUGAGCUGUGGUCAAAGUGAUUUAUGACUUCAGAUUGCCUUGGUUGGAUCUAAUUUUUGUUGAUCCUUUUUCAUUUGGAAUGAUGACUUCAGUACUUUUGAUGAAGUUUUAUUAAUUUUACAAUGUGCUUUUCAACGUAUGCAC
This 1496-nucleotide long non-coding RNA is filed under the name Fukomys damarensis (Damara mole-rat). RNAcentral's name for it is "lncRNA (ENSFDAG00000026229.1)". Lineage: Eukaryota; Metazoa; Chordata; Mammalia; Rodentia; Bathyergidae. The record is from RNAcentral.